Molecule: long non-coding RNA, 148 nt
Organism: Oxyura jamaicensis (ruddy duck)
Lineage: Eukaryota; Metazoa; Chordata; Aves; Anseriformes; Anatidae
Exons: 3
Source: RefSeq, a predicted model, not a curated record
UCAGAUAUUUUAAACUUCAUAGAAUCACAGAAUUUCCCUAGUUGGAAGGGACCCACAAGGAUCAUUGAGUCCAACUCCUAGUUCCACACAGGACCACCCAAAAAAUCAAACCAUGUGUCUCAGAGCAUUGUCCAAAGGAUUCAUUACU